GACGAACGCUGGCGGCGCGUCUAAGACAUGCAAGUCGUGCGAUUAAGACUCCCUUCGGGGAGUGAAUAAAGCGGCGGACGGGUGAGUAACACGUAGCUAACCUGCCUUCCGGACCGGAACAACGGUGCGAAAGCGCCGCUAAUGCCGGAUACGCCGUUCGGUCUGUCCGACUGGACGUGAAAGCGGGCUUCGGUCCGCACCGGAAGAGGGGGCUGCGGCCUAUUAGCUAGUUGGUGAGGUAACGGCCCACCAAGGCAGCGAUGGGUAGCUGAUCUGAGAGGAUGGUCAGCCACACUGGGACUGAGACACGGCCCAGACUCCUACGGGAGGCAG
RNAcentral lists this ribosomal RNA (333 nucleotides) under uncultured Spirochaetota bacterium. Its description in RNAcentral is "bacterial SSU rRNA". It matches the Rfam family "Bacterial small subunit ribosomal RNA", at positions 28 to 351 of the family's 1533-position model. The record is from RNAcentral. Lineage: Bacteria; Pseudomonadati; Spirochaetota.